Molecule: ribosomal RNA, 440 nt
Filed under: uncultured bacterium
Lineage: Bacteria
Description: bacterial SSU rRNA
Rfam family: Bacterial small subunit ribosomal RNA
Source: RNAcentral
AACGCGAAGAACCUUACCUGGGCUCGAAAUGGAGUGGACCGGGGUGGAAACAUCCCUUCCCCGCAAGGGGCUGCUCUAUAGGUGCUGCAUGGCUGUCGUCAGCUCGUGUCGUGAGAUGUUGGGUUAAGUCCCGCAACGAGCGCAACCCUUACUCAUAGUUGCUACCCGCAAGGGAGAACUCUAUGAGGACUGCUCCGGAUAACGGAGAGGAAGGUGGGGAUGAGGUCAAGUCAGCAUGGCCUUUAUGUCCAGGGCUACACACGUGUUACAAUGCGCGCCACAAAGCGUCGCGAACCCGCGAGGGGGAGCUAAUCGCAAAAAAGCGCGCUCAGUUCGGAUUGCAGUCUGCAACUCGACUGCAUGAAGCCGGAAUCGCUAGUAAUGGCGCAUCAGAACGGCGCCGUGAAUACGUUCCCGGGCCUUGUACACACCGAGACGAC